This 460-nucleotide ribosomal RNA is filed under the name uncultured bacterium. RNAcentral describes it as "partial 16S ribosomal RNA". It matches the Rfam family "Bacterial small subunit ribosomal RNA", at positions 338 to 795 of the family's 1533-position model. The record is from RNAcentral.
CCUACGGGAGGCAGCAGUGAGGAACAUUGGUCAAUGGACGAGAGUCUGAACCAGCCAAGUAGCGUGAAGGAUGACUGCCCUAGGGGUUGUAAACUUCUUUUAUAUGGGAAUAAAAUGUUCCACGUGUGGGAUUUUGUAUGUACCAUAUGAAUAAGGAUCGGCUAACUCCGUGCCAGCAGCCGCGGUAAUACGGAGGAUCCGAGCGUUAUCCGGAUUUAUUGGGUUUAAAGGGAGCGUAGGUGGAUUGUUAAGUCAGUUGUGAAAGUUUGCGGCUCAACCGUAAAAUUGCAGUUGAAACUGGCAGUCUUGAGUACAGUAGAGGUGGGCGGAAUUCGUGGUGUAGCGGUGAAAUGCUUAGAUAUCACGAAGAACUCCGAUUGCGAAGGCAGUUCACUGGACUGCAACUGACACUGAGGCUCGAAAGUGUGGGUAUCAAACAGGAUUAGAUACCCGUGUAGUC